UGUCAAGCUGUAGAUGCUGCAACACUAGUAUUACAGUACCCAAGUGGGAAAGUAGAAAAGCUGUAUUGGCCUGUGAGUGCUGCUGACGUUAUGAAGAUGAACCCUGGUCACUACGUGGCUCUUCUCCUCUCUACCCCCUUGUAUCCGACUCGUAAAAAUGGAGAAUGCCCCAACACCACCACCACAACCACCGCCAACAACAACAGUAACAACUCUCUUCGGAUAACAAGAAUNNNNNNNNUCAAGCCCACGGAUACUCUUGUUCUUGGUCAUGUUUAUAAACUCAUCACUACACAAGAGGUUAUGAAGGGGCUGUUGGCUAAGAAACAAGCAAAGCAGAAGAAAAACC
This 349-nucleotide unclassified non-coding RNA is filed under the name Hevea brasiliensis (rubber tree). Lineage: Eukaryota; Viridiplantae; Streptophyta; Magnoliopsida; Malpighiales; Euphorbiaceae. The record is from RNAcentral.